GCGACGCCGCGUGAAUGAAGGAGGCCCUCGGGAUGUAAACUUCUGAACUAGUCGAAUAACGGGGUAGCGGACACGCUACUAUAGAAGGGAGGCUACGAUGAGUCCCGGCUAACUACGUGC
Molecule: ribosomal RNA, 120 nt
Filed under: uncultured bacterium
Lineage: Bacteria
Description: partial 16S ribosomal RNA
Source: RNAcentral